UGGGGAAUAUUGGACAAUGGGCGCAAGCCUGAUCCAGCCAUGCCGCGUGAGUGACGAAGGUCUUCGGAUUGUAAAACUCUUUUUGGCGGGGACGAUAAUGACGGUACCCGCAGAAUAAGCCCCGGCUAACUUCGUGCCAGCAGCCGCGGUAAUACGAAGGGGGCUAGCGUUGUUCGGAAUCACUGGGCGUAAAGCGCACGUAGGCGGAUGUGCCAGUCAGGGGUGAAAUCCCGGAGCUCAACUCCGGAACUGCCUCUGAUACUGCACGUCUUGAGUUCGAGAGAGGUGGGUGGAAUUCCUAGUGUAGAGGUGAAAUUCGUAGAUAUUAGGAAGAACACCGGUGGCGAAGGCGGCCCACUGGCUCGAUACUGACGCUGAGGUGCGAAAGCGUGGGGAGCAAACAGGAUUAGAUACCCCUGUAGUCCCUGAGCGGGCUGG
RNAcentral lists this ribosomal RNA (438 nucleotides) under uncultured bacterium. Its description in RNAcentral is "bacterial SSU rRNA". It matches the Rfam family "Bacterial small subunit ribosomal RNA", at positions 355 to 819 of the family's 1533-position model. The record is from RNAcentral.